AGCGGCGGAUGGGUGAGUAACACGUGGGGAACCUGCCCCUAAGUCUGGGAUACCAUUUGGAAACAGGUGCUAAUACCGGAUAAUAAAGCAGAUCGCAUGAUCAGCUUUUGAAAGGCGGCGUAAGCUGUCGCUAAGGGAUGGCCCCGCGGUGCAUUAGCUAGUUGGUAAGGUAACGGCUUACCAAGGCAACGAUGCAUAGCCGAGUUGAGAGACUGAUCGGCCACAUUGGGACUGAGACACGGCCCAAACUCCUACGGGAGGCAGCAGUAGGGAAUCUUCCACAAUGGACGCAAGUCUGAUGGAGCAACGCCGCGUGAGUGAAGAAGGUUUUCGGAUCGUAAAGCUCUGUUGUUGGUGAAGAA
This 362-nucleotide ribosomal RNA is filed under the name Lactobacillus sp. RNAcentral's name for it is "bacterial SSU rRNA". It matches the Rfam family "Bacterial small subunit ribosomal RNA", at positions 94 to 449 of the family's 1533-position model. The record is from RNAcentral. Lineage: Bacteria; Bacillati; Bacillota; Bacilli; Lactobacillales; Lactobacillaceae.